RNAcentral lists this ribosomal RNA (492 nucleotides) under uncultured bacterium. Its description in RNAcentral is "partial 16S ribosomal RNA". It matches the Rfam family "Bacterial small subunit ribosomal RNA", at positions 29 to 507 of the family's 1533-position model. The record is from RNAcentral.
AGUGAACGCUGGCGGUAUGCCUAACACAUGCAAGUCGAACGGCAGCACAGUAAGAGCUUGCUCUUACGGGUGGCGAGUGGCGGACGGGUGAGGUAUACAUCGGAAUCUACUUUUUCGUGGGGGAUAACGUAGGUAAACUUACUCUAAUACCGCAUACGACCUACGGGUGAAAGCAGGGGAUCUUCUGACCUUGCGCGAUUGAAUGAGCCGAUGUCGGCUUAGCUAGUUGGCGGGGUAAAGGCCCACCAAGGCGACGAUCCGUAGCUGGUCUGAGAGGAUGGUCAGCCACCCUGGAACUGAGACACGGUCCAGACUCCUGCGGGAGGCAGCAGUGGGGAAUAUUGGACAAUGGAGGCAAGCCUGAUCCAGCCAUACCGCGUGGGUGAAGAAGGCCUUCGGGUUGGAAAGCCAUUUUGUUGGGAAAGAAAAGCAGCAGGUUAAUACCCCGCUGUUCUGACGGUACCCAAAGAAUAAGCACCGGCUAACUUCGUG